GAUGAACGCUGGCGGCGUGCCUAACACAUGCAAGUCGAGCGAACGGACGAGACGCUCGCUUCACUGGUGUUAGCGACGGACGGGUGAGUAACGCGUGGAUAACCUACCUCUACGACUGGGAUAACUUCGGGAAACCGUAGCUAAUACCGGAUAAUAUUUUGAACCGCAUGGUUCAAAAGUGAAUGACGUUCUUGCUGUGACUUCUGGAUGGCAUCGCGCUGCAUGAGCUAGUUGGUAAGGUAACGGCUUAUCAAGGCAACGAUGCAUAGCCGACCUGGGAGGGUGUUGGGCCACACGGGAGGUGAGACGCGGCCCUGAGUCCUACGGGAGGCAGCAGUACGGAAUCUACCGCGAUGGGCGGAAGCCUGACGGAGCGGCGCAGGGCGAGUGCUGAGGGUCUGCGUAUCGGAUGACGCUCUUAUUGUUGAAGAACACAUGUGUAAGGAACGGUGCACAUCGUGACGGUACCUAGAUAGAAAGCCCCGGCUAACUACGUG
RNAcentral lists this ribosomal RNA (497 nucleotides) under uncultured bacterium. RNAcentral's name for it is "partial 16S ribosomal RNA". It matches the Rfam family "Bacterial small subunit ribosomal RNA", at positions 28 to 507 of the family's 1533-position model. The record is from RNAcentral.